GAAGCUAGAAAAUUUUAUGGAUAAACUAGGAUUAGAUACCCUAUUAUAUUAAAAUGGAAUGUAGAUACUAGAUUAUUAAUAGAUAUGUUCUUGAAAUUUAAAGAAUUUGGCGGUAAUUUAGUCUAGUUAGAGGAACCUGUUUUAUAAUCGAUAUUCCACGUAAGAUCUUACUUACUUUAAUAGUUUGUAUACCAUCAUUAGCAGAUAAUUUUAUAAGAGAAAAGAAUUAUUAUUUAGGAUUUAUUAGAGAAAUUAGAUCAAGGUGCAGCUUAUAAGUAAGUUAAAAUGGGUUACAAUAAGUUUUAGUUAUAUGGAGUAUAGUUAGUAAGAGGCUUGUGAAGGAGGAUUUAAUUGUAAUAUAAGUUUAAUAAGCUAAGGUGAUAAAAGUUCUAAAUUAUGUACAUAUCGCC
RNAcentral lists this ribosomal RNA (410 nucleotides) under Sudanonautes floweri. RNAcentral describes it as "partial 12S ribosomal RNA". The record is from RNAcentral. Lineage: Eukaryota; Metazoa; Arthropoda; Malacostraca; Decapoda; Potamonautidae.